Molecule: ribosomal RNA, 253 nt
Filed under: uncultured bacterium
Lineage: Bacteria
Description: partial 16S ribosomal RNA
Rfam family: Bacterial small subunit ribosomal RNA
Source: RNAcentral
UACGGAGGGGGCUAGCGUUGUUCGGAAUUACUGGGCGUAAAGCGCGCGUAGGCGGACCUGCAAGUCGGGGGUGAAAGCCCGAGGCUCAACCUCGGAACUGCCUUCGAUACUGCAGGUCUCGAGUCCGGGAGAGGUGAGUGGAAUUCCUAGUGUAGAGGUGAAAUUCGUAGAUAUUAGGAAGAACACCAGUGGCGAAGGCGGCUCACUGGCCCGGUACUGACGCUGAGGCGCGAAAGCGUGGGGAGCAAACAGG